This 265-nucleotide long non-coding RNA is filed under the name Homo sapiens (human). Its description in RNAcentral is "HSALNT0076992". Lineage: Eukaryota; Metazoa; Chordata; Mammalia; Primates; Hominidae. The record is from RNAcentral.
AAAGGUGUAAUUUUCAAAGAAGAAGGAAUGAGAAGAGAGGCAAGGAAAAUAUCUCUUAUAGCCCUGAGACCAACUUGGCUCAACUUCAGAGGUACUUUGCAGAUUGAGAAACACUUGGAUGUAUAAAGUAUAAAAGCAUGAGGUCUGGAGGUAAUGGCAAUUACAUUUCUUUCAUUCAUCAAAAACAACUUUAAAGCAAUUCAUUUGGAUUUUACCAUAGAAUGGUACCAUAGUUCUAUAGUAAAAUAAAAUGCUAACACCAAGU